AAUAGGUUGCCGAAGCCGCGAGGUGGAGCCAAUCCUCAAAGUUGGUCCUCAGUUCAGAUUGCAGGCUGCAACCCGCCUGCAUGAAGAUGGAGUUGCUAGUAACCGCAGGUCAGCUAUACUGCGGUGAAUACGUUCCCGGGGCUU
RNAcentral lists this ribosomal RNA (144 nucleotides) under uncultured Leptolinea sp. RNAcentral's name for it is "partial 16S ribosomal RNA". It matches the Rfam family "Bacterial small subunit ribosomal RNA", at positions 1241 to 1382 of the family's 1533-position model. Lineage: Bacteria; Bacillati; Chloroflexota; Anaerolineae; Anaerolineales; Anaerolineaceae. The record is from RNAcentral.